RNAcentral lists this ribosomal RNA (492 nucleotides) under uncultured bacterium. RNAcentral's name for it is "bacterial SSU rRNA". It matches the Rfam family "Bacterial small subunit ribosomal RNA", at positions 28 to 507 of the family's 1533-position model. The record is from RNAcentral.
GAUGAACGCUAGCUACAGGCUUAACACAUGCAAGUCGAGGGGAAACGACAUCGAAAGCUUGCUUUUGAUGGGCGUCGACCGGCGCACGGGUGAGUAACGCGUAUCCAACCUGCCCACCACUUGGGGAUAACCUUGCGAAAGUAAGACUAAUACCCGAUGAUAUCUCUAGACGACAUCUGAAAGGGAUUAAAGAUUUAUCGGUGAUGGAUGGGGAUGCGUCUGAUUAGCUUGUUGGCGGGGUAACGGCCCACCAAGGCGACGAUCAGUAGGGGUUCUGAGAGGAAGGUCCCCCACAUUGGAACUGAGACACGGUCCAAACUCCUACGGGAGGCAGCAGUGAGGAAUAUUGGUCAAUGGGCGAGAGCCUGAACCAGCCAAGUAGCGUGCAGGAUGACGGCCCUAUGGGUUGUAAACUGCUUUUAUAAGGGAAUAAAGUUAGUCUCGUGAGACUUUUUGCAUGUACCUUAUGAAUAAGGACCGGCUAAUUCCGUG